This 387-nucleotide ribosomal RNA is filed under the name uncultured eukaryote. RNAcentral describes it as "partial 18S ribosomal RNA". It matches the Rfam family "Eukaryotic small subunit ribosomal RNA", at positions 592 to 976 of the family's 1831-position model. The record is from RNAcentral.
CGUUAGUGUAUUUUUACAUUGUUGCAGUUAAAAGGCUCGUAGUCGAAUAUAUGGUUUUUAAGAGUUGACCCUUAGUUUUACACUGAGUGUGAUUGACUUGUAAAAUCAUCUUUCUGGAAGAAUUUAUGUACCCUUGAUUGGGUUGUAUAAAGGAUCCAGAUCAUUUACUGUGAGUAAAUCAGAGUGUUCAAGACAGGCUUAAUGCUUGUAUGCUUUAGCAUGGAAUAAUAAGAUAUGACUUUGGUCUUAUUUUGUUGGCUUUUAAGAUUAAAGUAAUGAUUGAAAGGGAUAGUUGGGGGUGCUAGUAUUUAACGGUCAGCGGUGAAAUGCAUGGACCCGUUAAAGACUAACUUAUGCGAAAGCAUUCACCAAGGAUAUUNUCUUUUA